RNAcentral lists this ribosomal RNA (3213 nucleotides) under Triticum aestivum (bread wheat). Its description in RNAcentral is "partial small subunit ribosomal RNA". The record is from RNAcentral. Lineage: Eukaryota; Viridiplantae; Streptophyta; Magnoliopsida; Poales; Poaceae.
AUGGCUUCAUCUGCUGAUCGGGGGAAGGCGAAGGAGACGCUCUCGCCCAAGGCGGCGAGGGAGAAGCUAGCGGAGGCGCUGGGGAAGAUGGACAUAACUGAUCCGUUAGUGCUUGACGAUCUAGAAGAUGAGGCACAUGAUAAGUGGAUGCUGGCUGGAAAAGUACUGAAUCGAAAUAUCCUUCACAUCCAGACGAUAUCCAGCGCGCUCCGGCCGGCGUGGGGAAACCCUAAAGGACUCCACUUCAGGCCGGCGGGGGAGAAUACGUUUGUGGCAGAAUUUGCGUGCCAGCGAGAUCGUGAUCGUGUGUGGGAGGGUUCGCCAUGGCAUGUCAGCAAGAACGCGGUGAUCCUCUCGGCGUUUGAUGAAUGCAUGCGGCCUUCCGAGUUGAAGUUUGAUAAACUGCAGAUCUGGGCUAGAGUGCUAAACCUCCCGUUCAACCUUCGGGCAGAACCAUGGAGGUAUCUAAGGGCGAGAGUAACUGUGGAUGUUAAUAAGCCCUUGAGAAGGUGGAUACUGAUUGAAUCUAAGAGGAGAAAGUGCAUGGAUCCUUAUGAGAUUGUCUAUGAGAACGUACCACACUUCUGUUUCUCAUGUGGCAAGUUGGGCCAUUCGGACCUGGUUUGCAUGACGCCUGGAACGAGGGAUGAGAACGGUGAUCUUCCCUUCGAUAAAGGUCUGAGAGCGCAAGAUGAUUGGAGAAAGGCUGCUUCAAGCGAGAGUUCGACAAGGGAGGGCUCGCUCCCUCCAAAGAGCAAGGCUGACACCAGAAACUCUAGCACUGCGGCCAGGGGUGCAAAUGAGAUUGGGGACGCUGAGCUUGUCUGGGUCUCAGAUCUCAUUGAUGCGGAUUCGGGGACAUGGAAACGUAAUGAGGUGCAUGCAAAUUUCAUUCCGUGUGAAGCAGACGCUAUUCUCAAUAUACCCUUGAGGCGGUUUGGAGGAGAUGAUAUAUGGGCAUGGUCGGCAGAAAAAGCAGGAGUCUAUACUGUCAAGUCAGCGUACCGCACUCUUAUGAUUCGCAACGAGCAUCGCGCUCUAGAAGAAGGGUCGGUCACCGAAUCUUUCGAGACAAAUAAACAGCUAUGGACGAGGCUUUGGAAGUUGAACGUGUUGCCAAAGGUUCGUGUCUUUUGGUGGCGAGUGCUGCGCGGGAUUCUUCCUGUGGAGGGCACACUACACUACAAACACAUUACGACAACAGCAAGGUGCAAGGUUUGUCUUGCAGCUGAGGAAGAUAUGUGCCAUGCUUUGAUCAAAUGCAGCCAUGCACAAAACUUUUGGAGAGAAGCCCGUGAGUGGUUGGACGUGAAGCUGCCGGAGCUGCAUACGAUGACAUGGUCUCGAGAUGUUCUCUGUGAUGAUCACUUUGAUGGGUCAGACAGGGCUAAGAUCAUUAUUGUGAUGUGGGCAAUAUGGACAUCUAAAAACAAUAUCACGCAUGAAAAAGCUAGUAUGGAUCCUGUCCAGUCACUGAAGAUGAUCAAAGAUGCGUUGGCAGUGCUAGAGAUACUGAUCAAGCAUGCAAUUGUGCUGCCAGGGCACGGGUGGAGACCGCCUGAGGGCGAGUGCAUCAAAAUUAACACAGAUGCUGGUGUUGCUAUGCUCGAGCAUAGAGGAGGUAUUGGGGGCGUGGCCAGAUCAUCUUCGACUUUUAUCACAGCUUGGUGCAAACCAUGCCCAGGUAUCACAGAUCCUCUGGUGGCAGAGGCAACUGCGGUGCGUGAGGGUGUGGUGGUGGCAAUGCUCCGUGGUUUUGCGCGGGUCGAAAUUGAAACAGACUUUUUGGAAGUGGUCAACCUCUGGAAAUUGCGCCGAAAUUCGCGCUCUGUAAUAGCGCCGUUACUUUUAAAUAUUGAGGAGCUUGUUGCUCAGUUUACUUAUUUUAACAUUCUUCAUGUCGUCAUGGCGUGGAUGUUCCCGUGCGCCGUGUGGGCGGCGAUGGCGCCGGCCGUGGCAACGGCAGCGACCACGGACGGCGCUUCGAGCGUUGAGCAGGGCAGCUCCUCGUCGCCGGCGUUCGGCCCUGGCGACGCUAAGGUGGCCUCCGACCCGGGCUCCUCCCCGGCGUCGAGGUCGUCCACCUCCUCCUCCUUGCUCGGCGCCCGAAGCAGCUCGUCGAACAGCGCGCGCUCACUGGUGAGGGAGGGCGGUGACACGGCCGCAUGGAAGGGCCACGCGCUAAGGCGGUGCCUGCGCAGGUUCGCCAGAAAUCUGCAGCGCGCCGGUGCUGCUGACGAGCGGCCAGACGGGCGCGGGAGACGGAAGGGCCGGGCGACGAAGCCGGACGGGAGGGUCGCCGCCGGCGAGGACGGCACCGCUCGGGCGAGGGAGAAGGCCGUCGCGAGCGCGAUCGCCUACUACAAGGCUGUGGCGAAAAAAAGCUCAAACCGAAAAUCAAAACACAGCUGCAAGGAGUCGAGCCGGCAGCGCUGCAGGCCGCCGUUGGCUCCCUCGCCCAACUUGGACGGCUGGCUCCUCGUUCGUCCGGAGGAGGAGAUCGGCACCAGCGCCACGAGCGUCGUCUCGCCCUGCGAAUGCGAGGCGCAGGGCACCUCGAGCGCCGCCGCCCCCCACCACGGCCACGCGGCCUGCGACGCAGAAUGCGGCGGCGGCAGGCCGUCGACGGUGGAAACUCGGCGAGGUCCAGCCGGGGAGAUGGAAAAGGGUGACGCUGUCGACGGGCUUGACGGGGACGUCCUUAGGACAACGAGUUACUUCGCCGCCAAAUAUGUCGUCAUGGCGUGGAUGUUCCCGUGCGCCGUGUGGGCGGCGAUGGCGCCGGCCGUGGCGACGACAGCGACCACGGACGGCGCUUCGAGCGUUGAGCAGGGCAGCUCCUCGUCGCCGGUGUUCGGCCCUGGCGACGCUAAGGUGGCCUCCGACCCGGGCUCCUCCCCGGCGUCGAGGUCGUCCACCUCCUCCUCCUUGCUCGGCGCCCGAAGCAGCUCGUCGAACAGCGCGCGCUCACCGGUGAGGGAGGGCGGUGACACGGCCGCACGGAAGGGCCACGCGCUAAGGCGGUGCCUGCGCAGGUUCGCCAGAAAUCUGCAGCGCGCCGGUGCUGCGGACGAGCGGCCAGACGGGCGCGGGAGAUGGAAGGGCCGGGCGACGAAGCCGGACGGGAGGGUCGCCGCCGGCGAGGACGGCACCGCCCGGGCAAGGGAGGAGGCCGUCGCGAGCGCGAUCGCCUACUGCAAGGCUGUGUUUUGA